This 557-nucleotide long non-coding RNA is filed under the name Vombatus ursinus (common wombat). Its description in RNAcentral is "lncRNA (ENSVURG00010001244.1)". The record is from RNAcentral. Lineage: Eukaryota; Metazoa; Chordata; Mammalia; Diprotodontia; Vombatidae.
CGCUGCCGCUGCUGCUGCUGUCGCGGCCACUGCCACGGCUGGUAGGUAACGACGUCUGCCUGCACCAGCACCCCCAGCUUCGGAAGGAGGAGGAAGACGCGGCGGCGGCCGCGGCGGGGAUGGCACCCAGGGAGAGAGUAAAUCCUUUGGGCUGCAUGCAGGGAAUGUGUGCUGAGGAGUGUCUGGAGGUAGGAGACUGGCUUCUGGGUAUGCCCUGGCUCGUUGACUGGGCUGCAGCUCUGAUCAGUGGCAUAACUAGAAGAGGGAGGCCCUGAGACACACAGUUGGCUGGGAAUUUGGCAUGGAGUCAGUGGAGUUUAUGAAGAAAGGCUGAGGCUGUGGGUCUGAUGCCAGAAAAUCAAGGUGAACACCAUGGUGGGCAGUUCAAGGGAAGGAAAUGGAGGGCUGGGAGACAGGACAACUGAAAUCCUUUCCCAGCCCACUCACUGCUUAGCAUAGAUGUCAGCUGUGGCUUCCAGGAGCGUGUGGCGCGCCACCCCCCCCCCCAACUGUCCCCAGAUAGAAACGGGUCACUAAACUAUCUGUAAUGAUGCCUG